This 446-nucleotide ribosomal RNA is filed under the name uncultured bacterium. RNAcentral describes it as "partial 16S ribosomal RNA". It matches the Rfam family "Bacterial small subunit ribosomal RNA", at positions 329 to 792 of the family's 1533-position model. The record is from RNAcentral.
GUCCAGACUCCUACGGGAGGCAGCAGUGGGGGAUAUUGCACAAUGGGGGGAACCCUGAUGCAGCGACGCCGCGUGGGUGAAGAAGCGCCUCGGCGCGUAAAGCCCUGUCAGCAGGGAAGAAAAUGACGGUACCUGAAGAAGAAGCCCCGGCUAACCACGUGCCAGCAGCCGCGGUAAUACGUAGGGGGCAAGCGUUAUCCGGAUUUACUGGGUGUAAAGGGGGCGCAGACGGCGAUGCAAGCCAGGAGUGAAAGCCCGGGGCCCAACCCCGGGGCUGCUCUUGGAACUGCGUGGCUGGAGUGCAGGAGGGGCAGGCGGAAUUCCUGGUGUAGCGGUGAAAUGCGUAGAUAUCAGGAGGAACACCGGUGGCGAAGGCGGCCCGCUGGACUGCAACUGACGUUGAGGCCCGAAAGCGUGGGGAGCAAACAGGAUUAGAUACCCUAGUA